RNAcentral lists this ribosomal RNA (253 nucleotides) under uncultured bacterium. Its description in RNAcentral is "partial 16S ribosomal RNA". It matches the Rfam family "Bacterial small subunit ribosomal RNA", at positions 524 to 776 of the family's 1533-position model. The record is from RNAcentral.
CACGUAGGGUGCGAGCGUUGUCCGGAAUUAUUGGGCGUAAAGAGCUCGUAGGCGGUCUGUCACGUCGGCCGUGAAAUCCCGAGGCUCAACCCCGGGUCUGCAGUCGAUACGGGCAAACUAGAGUAUUGCAGGGGAGACUGGAAUUCCUGGUGUAGCGGUGAAAUGCGCAGAUAUCAGGAGGAACACCUGCGGCGAAGGCGGGUAGCUGGGCCGACACUGACGCUGAGGCGCGAAAGCCAGGGGAGCGAACGGG